CUGGCUCAGGAUGAACGCUGGCGGCGUGCUUAACACAUGCAAGUCGAACGAUGAUCCGGUGCUUGCACCGGGGAUUAGUGGCGAACGGGUGAGUAACACGUGAGUAACCUGCCCUUGACUCUGGGAUAAGCCUGGGAAACUGGGUCUAAUACCGGAUAUGACUCCUCAUCGCAUGGUGGGGGGUGGAAAGCUUUUGUGGUUUUGGAUGGACUCGCGGCCUAUCAGCUUGUUGGUGAGGUAAUGGCUCACCAAGGCGACGACGGGUAGCCGGCCUGAGAGGGUGACCGGCCACACUGGGACUGAGACACGGCCCAGACUCCUACGGGAGGCAGCAGUGGGGAAUAUUGCACAAUGGGCGCAAGCCUGAUGCAGCGACGCCGCGUGAGGGAUGACGGCCUUCGGGUUGUAAACC
This 412-nucleotide ribosomal RNA is filed under the name Arthrobacter sp. Its description in RNAcentral is "bacterial SSU rRNA". It matches the Rfam family "Bacterial small subunit ribosomal RNA", at positions 19 to 431 of the family's 1533-position model. Lineage: Bacteria; Bacillati; Actinomycetota; Actinomycetes; Micrococcales; Micrococcaceae. The record is from RNAcentral.